CCUACGGGGGGCAGCAGUGGGGGAUAUUGCACAAUGGGGGGAACCCUGAUGCAGCGACGCCGCGUGGGUGAAGGAGCGUUUCGGCGCGUAAAGCCCUAUCGGCAGGGAAGAAGAUGACGGUAACUGACCAAGAAGCCCCGGCUAACUACGUGCCAGCAGCCGCGGUAAUACGUAGGGGGCAAGCGUUAUCCGGAUUCAUUGGGUUUAAAGGGUGCGCAGGCGGGCCUUUAAGCCGGCGGUGAAAUCGCGGGGCUAAAACCCGCCGAGCCGUCGGAACUGGGGGCCUUGAGUGCGGCGGAGGCAUGCGGAAUGCGCGGUGUAGCGGUGAAAUGCAUAGAUAUCGCGCAGAACCCCGAUUGCGAAGGCAGCGUGCCGUGCCGCCACUGACGCUGAGGCACGAAAGCGCGGGGAUCGAACAGGAUUAGAUACCCUGGUAGUC
RNAcentral lists this ribosomal RNA (439 nucleotides) under uncultured bacterium. Its description in RNAcentral is "partial 16S ribosomal RNA". It matches the Rfam family "Bacterial small subunit ribosomal RNA", at positions 338 to 795 of the family's 1533-position model. The record is from RNAcentral.